ACAGUGGACGCGAGCAUCUGUGGCCAAGUUUUUAAGGGCGCACGGUGGAUGCCUUGGCACCAGGAACCGAUGAAGGACGUGGGAGGCCACGAUAGUCCCCGGGGAGCUGUCAACCAAGCUUUGAUCCGGGGGUUUCCGAAUGGGGAAACCCGGCAGUCGUCAUGGGCUGUCACCCGCUGCUGAACACAUAGGCAGUGUGGAGGGAACGAGGGGAAGUGAAACAUCUCAGUACCCUCAGGAAGAGAAAACAACCGUGAUUCCGGGAGUAGUGGCGAGCGAAACUGGAUGAGGCCAAACCGUAUGCGUGUGAUACCCGGCAGGGGUUGCGCAUGCGGGGUUGUGGGAUCUCUCUUUCACGGUCUGCCGGCUGUGAGACGAGUCAGAAACCGUUGAUGUAGGCGAAGGACAUGCGAAAGGUCCGGCGUAGAGGGUAAGACCCCCGUAGCUGAAACAUCAGCGGCUUGUUUGAGAGACACCCAAGUAGCACGGGGCCCGAGAAAUCCCGUGUGAAUCUGGCGGGACCACCCGCUAAGCCUAAAUAUUCCCUGGUGACCGAUAGCGGAUAGUACCGUGAGGGAAUGGUGAAAAGUACCGCGGGAGCGGAGUGAAAUAGUACCUGAAACCGUGUGCCUACAAGCCGUGGGAGCGUCGCACAGGGACUUGUCCUUGUGUCGUGACUGCGUGCCUUUUGAAGAAUGAGCCUGCGAGUUAGCGGUGUGUAGCGAGGUUAACCCGUGUGGGGAAGCCGUAGCGAAAGCGAGUCCGAACAGGGCGUUUGAGUUGCACGCUCUAGACCC
This 797-nucleotide ribosomal RNA is filed under the name Streptomyces parvus. Its description in RNAcentral is "partial 23S ribosomal RNA". It matches the Rfam family "Bacterial large subunit ribosomal RNA", at positions 1 to 716 of the family's 2925-position model. The record is from RNAcentral. Lineage: Bacteria; Bacillati; Actinomycetota; Actinomycetes; Kitasatosporales; Streptomycetaceae.